This 499-nucleotide ribosomal RNA is filed under the name uncultured bacterium. RNAcentral's name for it is "partial 16S ribosomal RNA". It matches the Rfam family "Bacterial small subunit ribosomal RNA", at positions 28 to 507 of the family's 1533-position model. The record is from RNAcentral.
GACGAACGCUGGCGGCGUGCCUAAUUCAUGCAAGUCGAGCGAAGUUUUUCUGGUGCUUGCACUAGAAAAACUUAGCGGCGAACGGGUGAGUAACACGUAAAGAACCUGCCUCAUAGACUGGGACAACUAUUGGAAACGAUAGCUAAUACCGGAUAACAGUAUUUCUCGCAUGAGAGAUAUUUAAAAGUUGGUUAUGCUAACACUAUGAGAUGGCUUUGCGGUGCAUUAGCUAGUUGGUGGGGUAAAGGCCCACCAAGGCGACGAUGCAUAGCCGACCUGAGAGGGUGAUCGGCCACACUGGGACUGAGACACGGCCCAGACUCCUACGGGAGGCAGCAGUAGGGAAUCUUCCGCAAUGGGCGAAAGCCUGACGGAGCAACGCCGCGUGAGUGAAGAAGGAGUUCGGUUCGUAAAGCUCUGUUGUUAGGGAAGAAUGGAUAUGUAGUAACUAUACAUGUAAGAGACGGUACCUAACCAGAAAGCCACGGCUAACUACGUG